UACGUAGGGGGCGAGCGUCGUCCGGAUUUAUUGGGCGUAAAGAGCGUGUAGGCGGUUCGGUAAGUCUGUCGUGAAAUCCUGAGGCUCAACCCUGGACGUGCGAUGGAUACUGCCGGGCUAGAGGAUGGUAGAGGCGAGUGGAAUUCCCGGUGUAGCGGUGAAAUGCGCAGAUAUCGGGAGGAACACCAGUAGCGAAGGCGGCUCGCUGGGCCAUUCCUGACGCUGAGACGCGAAAGCUAGGGGAGCGAACAGG
Molecule: ribosomal RNA, 253 nt
Filed under: uncultured bacterium
Lineage: Bacteria
Description: partial 16S ribosomal RNA
Rfam family: Bacterial small subunit ribosomal RNA
Source: RNAcentral